UCCGUGUUCGCUGAAAUAAUGAAAACUUAUUGAUCCCAAAUCAAAGAGUUAUAUGACGUGCCAAAAUAGUCAUCUGUGAAGAUACCCCAAAUACAGGGACGUGCCCAUGAAAACCACAAAUGCUAUAUAUAUCUUGCUCAGUCUGUAGCGCUUGACUAUAGAGUCCGCCCGAGUGGGAAGUUUCUAUGGACCGCUACAGACCAGUUAGGACCUUCUGCCUAGUUUUUGAAAGGUCAUUCGCAUGUGCUGCCACCCGCCGGUUUGGUCAAAACGACACCGGCCGGCUGGUGCACCACCACUGCAUCACAAGUGUUCGACGAAUUGCCAAGGUGAGUUUUUUUUGUCCAUUUCUUUUUAAAUCAAGCCGUUUGAAUUAUAGAUGAAGAGGUUGAGGGAGAUAUUCUUGGAGGACUCGUCGUCAUCCGAAGAGGAAGAAGACGACGAUGACUUUGAAACUGUUUUAGGCAUGACUUCCAAUGAUGAUAUUCGGCGGCCUAGGAGAAGAUCACAAUUUGGCCGCAUACACAUCAACCGUGGUAGAGCAGAGGGCCAUGCCAAGAUCAUGAGAGACUACUUUGAUCCAAAGGCAACCUAUCCGAAGAAGUACUUUCACCGACGCUUUCAGAUGCACACAAGUCUUUUUGGUGUGUCUUUGGUGUGCUUCAAAAGCGAUUUGCAAUUGUUCGUGGUCCUGCCGAGUACUGGAGCUCCAAGGUUCUCUGGCGGAUCAUAAUUUGUUGCAUCAUAUUGCAUAACAUGAUCAUUGAAGACGAGAGGGAUAUGCCUGCGAACUUUCGGUACAUCACCAACGGGACUCCGAUUGAGCCAGAGUGUGAUUCGAACAGGAACCUGACAUUUCUUGAGGAGCAUCACAAGAUAGAGAACCCUCAACUUCAUGCUCAGCUCCAACUAAAUUCAUGAUUUGCUUGAACAUUCGAAUUUAUAUUUAGUUGCUAUAUGUGUGCUAAUACACAGUUGCAAUUUAUACUAGAACUGCAAAGUUUAGAAAAAAUAAAAAUUGUCUCCGUUAUUUAUAGGAGAUCGGCUAGGUCUGGCCAAAACUUAGUGGAGUAAAUUUACUCCACCGGAUACUCCGCUAUUUUUAGGAGAUCGGUUAAAAAUGCCCUAAGAGUAAAAGAGAUUGAAUAGAUGAAUGAAUCAACUGUGCUCUGGAUUUCAUUGGUGUCAGAGUAUAUAUACAUGCCCAAUAGAUGAAUGCAUCUGUACCAGGGAGAGAGCGGAAAAAGUUCCUUUGUGUAGCCUGCUCUGGAUGAAAUCAUUGGUUAAAUUUUUUAUUUAUGUUUUGGAACUGGUUAGGUUCCUUUGUGUAGUCUCGAUACCGCGUUGGCCACUGCCGCGGUGGACUGCGCUGACGACCCCUGAAGACGGGGAGAAGGGGGCGAGAGGGCGGCGGCGAAAACGGAGGGUGCUCUGCUUGCUGGGACGCCGCGUCCGCCGGUGGGUCCUGCCCCGGCCGAUCCUACUUGUACAGGCCGCCAUGCCAAUCAGACCGCGCGUCGGUGCUCAACUGACGGAUGACGCAGAUUCUGUACUUUUGCUGCUACUGUUAUUGCUGUGUCUAGUCCCAUGGAGCGUCUGUUUAUCCUGGUUGUCUAUUUGGGAUACACCACAUUCAGCGAAGGAGCAUCGUAAUGGUUUCUGUACAUUGUGAAUGGGACGCAUAGGUUGAUUUGGGCACAUGAAGGUCGUAGACCGAGGCUCAGAGCAAUGUGUCUUCAGCAGUGCUCUGCACUAAUAAGGUGCAUUGGUCUUCUGCUCUGCUUGCUCAUUCAGAUUAUUUGGACUCUACAUCACCAUUUGGUCUUCUGCUCUGCUUCUACAUUACAUAUGCCCCUCUUAUUAAGUACAGUUAUUUGGCAUCAUCCUUGUCAUUUCUUCUGCAAGACAAACAACGGUGCUGAGAAUUGAGAAAACGAAUGAAAAGAAGAUGCAAAUGCCUGUUCGGUUCCACUCCACUCCGCUCCCGGAGUGGAGCAGGCUGUAGCUCGUUUUCACAUAGCGGCUUAAGCCCAGCUCCACAACUCCGCGGAGUGGAGCGGGUCGGAGUGAUCCCAAACAGGGCAUUUCAUGAAAGAGGGACCAUGUAUGGUAAUGUAAGAAACUAAUGAAGUGAAUAUGUCCUAAUUUCUGUCUUGAAUUUUUUGUAAUACACCUACCAGUUCACCCACAAAGAUACCAUUAGAGAUCGAUAAGUGCAUAUGCCCCAGCUAGGUUCCAAGUAUACUUUAGAAUUUGUCAUUUUUUUCCUAUGAGAAUACUCCCUCCGUUUAUAAACAUAAGCCCUUUUAAAGAUUUCAAUACGGACUACAUACUCAUGUAUAAAGACAUAUUUUAUAGUUACACCAUAUGUAGUCCAUAUUGGAAUCUCUAGAAGGGCUUAUAUUUAGGAACGGAAGGAUUAGUAUCGUUCUCUCCAGUAUUAGUUAGUGUGCCGUGUCCACCAUUAUACGAAUUUGAGAAGUGUGCCGUGUCCUUCACGUGCGAAUGGUUGUUCCCAGUGUCUUCCAUACGGCAAUGACAAAUCUCAUCACAACAAAAAAAAAGACAAGUUCGGGGAUAGCCAUAGUUGAACUUGUCCCAAAGUCCCCGAAAGUUGUGCUUGGCCAUGUGCAAGGCAUAUGUGUGAACAGAUGCUUUAUGAACACAAACAAACCAACCACUCAAGACCUGACUAACCCACCCACAGUAAGUCGAGUUCUUCCUGUAAGAUGUGGGAAUUGCACGAUCACUACUAGAAAAAAGGCUGUUAGUGGCGCACCUAUUUUGGCUAUUAAUGGCGCACUAUAGGUGGGCCACUAUUAUCACGCCACUAGUAACAAAUACUAACGGCGCAUCUCCGGUGCGCCAUUAGUACUGCAGGUAACAGUGGCGCACCUUGUAGUGCGCCAUUACUAUUGCUACAGGUGCGCCACUGGUAACUUUUAUUUGAAUUUUUUUGAAUUUUUUCUGAAUUUUGAAGGCGGGAAAAUAGUAGUGGCGCACCGUCUAACCCCCACCGUGCGCCAUUGCUAUCUUUGAAUUUUGAAUUUUGAUCUGGAUCGCAAUUUUUUUGCCCUUUUUUGCUCGUUUUUUCUGCACGAUAUUUUUUCAAAUUUUGUUCUCGUUUUUGGAUCUUGUACGUUCUUUUGCCGGAGAGGAGUUCGCCAGAGAGGAGGGUCGAGGAGAGACCGUGAGGAGGAGAGGAGGGAGGAGGAGGAGGUCACCGGAGAGGAGCUCGCCUACAUCGUCGGAGAGGAGGAGGUGGUCAUCGGAGAGGAGCUCGCCUACAUCACCGGAGAGGAGGAGGAGAUCGUCGGAGAGGAAUUCACCGGAGAGGAGGGAGGAGAAACGUU
Long non-coding RNA from Triticum urartu, 3353 nucleotides. RefSeq lists it as uncharacterized. Lineage: Eukaryota; Viridiplantae; Streptophyta; Magnoliopsida; Poales; Poaceae. The record is from RefSeq and is a predicted model, not a curated record.